Molecule: long non-coding RNA, 1181 nt
Organism: Lotus japonicus
Lineage: Eukaryota; Viridiplantae; Streptophyta; Magnoliopsida; Fabales; Fabaceae
Exons: 3
Source: RefSeq, a predicted model, not a curated record
UUCAGUUGCUUCCUUCUCAGCCUCUUUCUCAACUUCAGUUGCUUCCUUCUCAAUCUGAUAGAAUUUUUUGGAAUUAUUUUACAAUUUAAUUGACAUUGUUUAAUUGUUAAUUAUUAGAUUAAAUACAAAGUAAUUUUAAUCACCUUCACCACUGCUUUCAAAAGUUUAUUUGCUGUGAAACUUUGCCUUCCAUGACUCUCAAAGUAGGUACUCAUCUUUAUUUGAAAAACAUGUGAAGAGCCUAUGGUUUUCAGGAGUUGUGGAGGUAGGUCCAAAUCCCUCUUAUCUCCCUAUAUUGUACAAUCAUAGAUGGAUAAAGAUUAGAAUCAUAAUUUUAACAUAAUAAGCAUUUUACGUGUCUUCAUUAUGAUUGAAAAAUGGGCAAAAUUAGUUUGUUCCUGACCUGUUCAAAGGCUGAUAAAAGAUCAUGUAAUUUCACAUGUGCUAUUUGUUCAGCAAUGUCAUCAAAUACAACAAAUAUAGUUGAAUUGGUAGCAUCUCUGACAUCAAGCUCUAAUCGAAACCUAAUAUAAAUAAUAUAGAACAUUAAUAAUUUAAUUUUCAUUUCAUUGAAUAUAUUAUAUUAGAAGUAUUGGUUACCUUGUUGUUGGAUAGUCAACAUUCUUGUGGCAGGAAUCACAACUGAACUUUGUUGAUGUGUUAGAGACCUUUCUUUUGCAAUGAGGGCAGGAAACAUAAAACCACCCGUUUUUCAGCAAGAUGUCAUUUAUAGUUGCAGCACAACAAUAGGAUGUUGAAGUCUAAGGGUGGUUCAUUGCUUUGAAAUGGGAGGUAAUGGAUUUGUGCAGAAUUUAUGAAAUUGAGAGACAGUAUUAAUUUCAAUUAACAUUGUUAUUGAAAAAGUGUGCUCAAAAACAUUGUACACGUGAUGUAUAUAGUAUAUAGAAGAUUUCUUUGAGCAGCUGAAGGAAAUUCCGUUGGAAUAAUUUCUUUAAUGUCACUAUGUAGUAUUGUUGUCAGUUUCACAUUUGUCAUUUUCAUUAAGUGCUGUGUAGUCAGUUUUAUAUUUGUCAGUUUCAGGUUGUUGUGUAACUUUCCUUGGUUACUUGUCAGCCUCAUUGAGAAGCAUCUGUCAUCUUUGUAAUUGAAGUUGGAUUUGAUGAAACACAUACGUGUGCAAAGUGUAUUGAAAUCUCUAUUGACCACAUUGGAAACUUAAA